Molecule: small RNA, 130 nt
Filed under: Schnuerera ultunensis
Lineage: Bacteria; Bacillati; Bacillota; Tissierellia; Tissierellales; Tepidimicrobiaceae
Also listed under: 1 other name
Description: Clostridium ultunense c-di-AMP sequence
Rfam family: c-di-AMP riboswitch aptamer (ydaO/yuaA leader)
About the family: This family represents a conserved RNA structure found upstream of the ydaO and yuaA genes in Bacillus subtilis and related genes in other bacteria. The ydaO/yuaA element is thought to act as a genetic "off" switch for the ydaO and yuaA genes in its native state.
Source: RNAcentral
CGUGUCAGAUCGCUGAAUCCCAAUACGUAUGGGAGCGGGGGAUCCAAUAUCGGGGUGAAUCUCAUUCGAGAAGGGCGACUCUUACGUCCUAACCCGUCAGCUAACCUCGUAAGCGUCCUAGAGAGGAUAC